GGGGAAGUGGUGUACGGUGCACGGCUGCAUUAAGUACCAGGGUUUCAUAAACGUUAUGCAGUAGGCCGGGGUUCGACUCCCCGCGUCCCCU
This is a non-coding RNA of Mycena latifolia, 91 nucleotides long. The record is from the annotation of a GenBank genome assembly. Lineage: Eukaryota; Fungi; Basidiomycota; Agaricomycetes; Agaricales; Mycenaceae.